Molecule: transfer RNA, 66 nt
Filed under: Dolophilodes bellatulus
Lineage: Eukaryota; Metazoa; Arthropoda; Insecta; Trichoptera; Philopotamidae
Description: tRNA-Arg
Source: RNAcentral
AUAUAUGAAACAAUAAAUUGUAUUUAAUUUCGACUUAAACCUUAGAAUUCAACAAUUCCAUAUUUA